This 208-nucleotide unclassified non-coding RNA is filed under the name Melitaea cinxia (Glanville fritillary). Its description in RNAcentral is "misc RNA ENSMCXG00005003368.1". The record is from RNAcentral. Lineage: Eukaryota; Metazoa; Arthropoda; Insecta; Lepidoptera; Nymphalidae.
UUGUAUAAAAGUCCUAUGUCUAUGAAGUUAUGAAGUAAGAGACUUGAAAUUUAAAAUGUAUGCUCUAUAUAUGGUGAGAAGGUGUCAAAAUAAUGUAUCUUUAGAAAUCAACUCCUUUUUGGGGUUAAAACGGGGGAUGGUAGGUUGAGUCACUCAUCACGAAAUCUCCGAAACUAUAACAGCUAUUAACUUGAAAUUUGGCAAAUAU